Molecule: transfer RNA, 77 nt
Filed under: Desulfamplus sp.
Lineage: Bacteria; Pseudomonadati; Thermodesulfobacteriota; Desulfobacteria; Desulfobacterales; Desulfobacteraceae
Description: tRNA-Arg
Rfam family: tRNA
About the family: Transfer RNA (tRNA) molecules are approximately 80 nucleotides in length.
Source: RNAcentral
GCGCCCGUAGCUCAGCUGGAUAGAGUACCUGACUACGAAUCAGAUGGUCGGACGUUCGAAUCGUCUCGGGCGUGCCA